GUACGAAAAGGGCAAACUCUGCGAAAGCAGAGGACGCAAAGUCACUGAUCUAAAGGGCAAAUGCCCCAAGAUGGCAGGACUGCCACA
This 87-nucleotide non-coding RNA is filed under the name Pseudomonadota bacterium. Its description in RNAcentral is "Proteobacteria bacterium c-di-GMP sequence". It matches the Rfam family "c-di-GMP-I riboswitch aptamer". Rfam says of the family: GEMM was predicted in a large-scale screen for bacterial structured RNA regulatory elements. Genes associated with GEMM are involved in a diverse array of functions, including chemotaxis regulation, signal transduction, secretion and chitin. Lineage: Bacteria; Pseudomonadati; Pseudomonadota. The record is from RNAcentral.